AAACGUGUCCCUUAUUCUCAACCUCCUCGUUAUUACAAAAUGUGUCAUUUAUCCGUAUUUCGUCGUCUACAGACGAUAGAGUAUCUUCGGGAAGAAUUGCUCUGGUGUCCGAAUCUUCCAUUGCCAGUUUGUAGGAUACUAAAAAAAGAUUCAAGACCCCAACUAAGAUAUCCGGUUUCUUUGUUAUUAUAGACUCGUCUUUGCAAGACUGAAUAGUUUGCGGACAAAAUCUUCAAAUAAUUCACUUGUUCGGAUCAGAAACAAAGACAAAACGUACUUAAACUCUUCCCAUGUGUAUCAAGAAUGCACCUUGUGGAAUAGCAGGGGACUGUGAAGAGACACACACAGUGUCUUAGUGUGUUUGGACCCCAAGAAGAGUAGCUGCUGCCUUGGGUGGGAAUUUUCAUCCUGCAUGUGUCCUCACAUGUUUCACCAAUCCCUCUCAGAAAUAUCCUGACAUAUCCUGUUGUAUUAAAGGUGCGUUCCAUAAUAUUUCCAAAUAAUGUCUAUGAAACAUCUGUACAGUAAAGGCACAGAAUUCCAGAACAUCAUUUGAAGCUAGUUUACUAUCAGAAAUAACCCAAAAUUAAGCAAUCAAUCAUAUCGAUGAAAAAGUACUUUCCAUUAUUGCAGUUCAAAUUCCACUAUUACUGAGAACAAAAGGCUUGUUGGGAGAAAGGGAACUUUGACUUCCAGCUGCAGCAACUGAAGUGCAUUGUUACACAGGUCAUAUAAAGACUUUUCUUUAUAACUCAACAGGAAUUUGUGCUGAAGAGUUAUCUCAACCCAAUUCAAGGCUGACUUGGGCAAUAAAGUUUAUAUGCUAGUUUACGUAUUGUGGUACACACACACACACACACACACACACACACACACACACACACACACACACACACACACACACACACACACACACACACACACACAAACACAAACACACACUAUCUGGGAAUCUGAGUUAUGGAGUUAUGGGUGGCAUGGAGGAAUAUUCCUUCAUGUUUCUAAACAGUGAUGUGGGCAAUUUACCCAGAGAUGAUGUAAUGACACCAUGUAAUGACAGUGGUUAAAGCCAUGUAAUGACAGUGGUUAAAGCCAUGUAAUGACAGUGGUUAAAGCACCAAACAUGCUCAGAAGCUUGCAUUUUCUAGUCUAAUAUGAUGUAUUCACUUGGAAAACAUAGUGGCCUAGGGUUGUUCCAACAACUAUUAUUCUACUGUACAGCAGAUGACCGUUGUUAUGGCACAAUAAACUGGCUUCAACAGAAAAGUGGCAUAAAACACAAAUCUUUUUUUUUUUGUUUCCUUAGUUACAGUUAUGGAUAAUAGUCUGUCACUAAUCAGAUUUAUGUCCAACAUGUAUUAUUUUGUACGUGCAGUUGUCCAAGAUGGAUACAAUGAAGGACGAGGAUGAGCUGUAAUUAGAUGAAGUUCUAUCUCAGUUUAACUCAGAGAAUAUAUUUACCUUAAUAUCAUUUUCAUUGGUUUAAAUGGAACACACCCACCCACAUUCAGUCCUUGAACUGAGCUGCCAAGAGGUGAGAAUUCUUGUCUCAUCUCAUAUCUGUUUACACUUUGUAUUUUAAAGUAUUCAUAUGCACGUCCACACACACUGUCUCUGUCGCUCUCUCUCUGAUGAAUGUAUAGACGCCGGUUAGAAAAGGGACAGAUGCAGGGAAAUGUCUGUGCCUGUUGCCGUUGGUGAUUCAUACAUAUUACAUUGACUAGCUUUAUAACGUCUGCUUCCAGCUCACACUCUCAAACACGUAGAUCCCCUGAACGCAGCUCACUCUCCAGAUCCCAAUCACCUGAAUUCUGAUCACCUGUUCACACACCUGUAUGUCAUUAACCCACACUAUUUAGUUCAGUUCUUUGCACCCCAUCACUGUGAGGUGUUGUUUGUUUUGUGACACACAGCUUUUUGAGUGCUGGGUUUCCCAUGAAUGAUAGGCAUUGUUAGCGAGGCUGGCAAAAACUAUUCCCUGCCUGUACUUUAGCCUAUCGGAUUUCCUGUUAUCAACCAAUUGCAUGAUCUCCUGGAUGACAUUACUAGCCUUUCCCUGCCUGUACUGUAGCCUUUUUUUGGCCCCCUGUGUAUGACCUUCUGCCUGCCCCUGGACCCAGCUACCUGCCUCCUCCUGUGUAUGACCU
Oncorhynchus mykiss (rainbow trout) is the source of this 2147-nucleotide long non-coding RNA. RefSeq lists it as uncharacterized. NCBI's taxonomy places the organism in Eukaryota, Metazoa, Chordata, Actinopteri, Salmoniformes, Salmonidae. The record is from RefSeq and is a predicted model, not a curated record.